This 503-nucleotide long non-coding RNA is filed under the name Ananas comosus (pineapple). RNAcentral describes it as "long non-coding RNA (ACOM_LNC012244)". The record is from RNAcentral. Lineage: Eukaryota; Viridiplantae; Streptophyta; Magnoliopsida; Poales; Bromeliaceae.
UCUAUUUUUAAAAAAAUACAACUUUCUGACUAAAUGACGAUAUUUGUUUUGAUGUAACAUUUUAGCGAAUACAAAUUGUAGAUGUUGAUGCUGCUAUUGCAUUGUUUAGUAGCUAUUAUCAUUCCCCAACAACAACAAAAAAAAAAAUAGUACUGUCCUACCUACUGUCUCUAGAGCAAGUGGUAAAGGGCAUGAUGGUUGGUAUCCGAGGUUCCAAGUUCGAAUCCUAAUUGAUUCACAUUUCUAGCUAAGUUUAUUUCUAAAUGAAAUAAACGAAGCGGAUAGCGUGCUACCUAUCUCUAAAAAAAAAAAAAAAAAAUACUGUCCUCACUCAUCAUUCAUGACUGACAAAAAUAAUUUAAUCAUAACUACUUUCAACAAUAAAGACUAAUAAUAAGUAAAACUUCUAUAUAGCAGUCACAUCACUUCAGCUAUAUUGAACUAAUCAAAUAUCUCUUUCUUUAAAAAAAAAUAUAAUAAAAAUUAAUCUUUUAUAAAUUAUG